This 190-nucleotide non-coding RNA is filed under the name unclassified sequences. RNAcentral describes it as "manA RNA". It matches the Rfam family "manA RNA". Rfam says of the family: manA RNA has been located in 5'UTR regions of genes of mannose or fructose metabolism. Has been proposed as a cis-regulatory element and as a riboswitch candidate for his complex secondary structure. The record is from RNAcentral.
UGUUGGACGCAACGCAGGGAGUGACUGAAUAAUCUUUCUGGCAAACGCUGGAUAAGGUGAUGAGACACAGGUGGUGCUGCACCGAAAGGUGAAUCGACUUACCAGUCGGGUCUCAGGCAGAGAUGUAAAAUUUACUACUGUAGUAAUGCCCGUCUCUUGUUGGUACACAGAAACCCAACCUCCUCACACU